GACAAGCAGGAGAGAUGCAAUGAAUGUUCAUGAAAGCCGUGAGUGUGUUUCCUGUAAUUGUGAGUCAGCCUUAGAGCUUUCAGGAACAAUACCAACAAGGAAGACGCUAUUCCAGCAAAGCCUCUCUUCACUCUCAAUACUAUCAUCCGUCUAUCACUCUCACUACAGGAGAAACAGGCACACACACGCACAGAUAAAUAGACAUAUAAAUAUACAUAUUUAUUGUUCUAAAGCCUCCUCAAUCCCUGAAAUCAGGUGGCACAUAUCGGAGGAUCACUCUGGCUGCUCUUCUGAAAACAGCUUGGCAUGGAGUGUGGGUGACAAGACUGGAAAGAGGGACGAGUUAAGGAGCUAUUUCAGUG
Long non-coding RNA from Lemur catta (Ring-tailed lemur), 362 nucleotides. RefSeq lists it as uncharacterized. NCBI's taxonomy places the organism in Eukaryota, Metazoa, Chordata, Mammalia, Primates, Lemuridae. The transcript is spliced from 3 exons. The record is from RefSeq and is a predicted model, not a curated record.